Molecule: ribosomal RNA, 585 nt
Filed under: uncultured bacterium
Lineage: Bacteria
Description: bacterial SSU rRNA
Rfam family: Bacterial small subunit ribosomal RNA
Source: RNAcentral
CCUACGGGAGGCAGCAGUAGGGAAUCUUCCGCAAUGGACGAAAGUCUGACGGAGCAACGCCGCGUGAGCGAUGAAGGCCUUCGGGUCGUAAAGCUCUGUUGUCAGGGAAGAACAAGUACCGGAGUAACUGCCGGUACCUUGACGGUACCUGACCAGAAAGCCACGGCUAACUACGUGCCAGCAGCCGCGGUAAUACGUAGGUGGCAAGCGUUGUCCGGAAUUAUUGGGCGUAAAGCGCGCGCAGGCGGUCCUUUAAGUCUGAUGUGAAAGCCCACGGCUCAACCGUGGAGGGUCAUUGGAAACUGGGGGACUUGAGUGCAGAAGAGGAAAGCGGAAUUCCACGUGUAGCGGUGAAAUGCGUAGAGAUGUGGAGGAACACCAGUGGCGAAGGCGGCUUUCUGGUCUGUAACUGACGCUGAGGCGCGAAAGCGUGGGGAGCAAACAGGAUUAGAUACCCUGGUAGUCCACGCCGUAAACGAUGAGUGCUAAGUGUUAGGGGGUUUCCGCCCCUUAGUGCUGCAGCUAACGCAUUAAGCACUCCGCCUGGGGAGUACGGCCGCAAGGCUGAAACUCAAAGGAAUUGAC